Molecule: ribosomal RNA, 98 nt
Filed under: Clostridiales bacterium
Lineage: Bacteria; Bacillati; Bacillota; Clostridia; Eubacteriales
Description: partial 23S ribosomal RNA
Rfam family: Bacterial large subunit ribosomal RNA
Source: RNAcentral
GGUCAAGCUACUAAGAGCGUAGAGUGGAUGCCUUGGCACCGAGAGCCGAUGAAGGACGUGAUAAGCUGCGAAAAGCUACGGGGAGUUGCAAAUAAACU